RNAcentral lists this ribosomal RNA (490 nucleotides) under uncultured bacterium. RNAcentral's name for it is "partial 16S ribosomal RNA". It matches the Rfam family "Bacterial small subunit ribosomal RNA", at positions 30 to 507 of the family's 1533-position model. The record is from RNAcentral.
AUUGAACGCUGGCGGCAGGCCUAACACAUGCAAGUCGAACGGUAACAGGAAGCAGCUUGCUGCUUCGCUGACGAGUGGCGGACGGGUGAGCAAUGUCUGGGAAGCUGCCUGAUGGAGGGGGAUAACUACUGGAAACGGUAGCUAAUACCGCAUAAUGUCGCAAGACCAAAGAGGGGGACCUUCGGGCCUCUUGCCAUCGGAUGUGCCCAGAUGGGAUUAGCUUGUUGGUGGGGUAACGGCUCACCAAGGCGACGAUCCCUAGCUGGUCUGAGAGGAUGACCAGCCACACUGGGACUGAGACACGGUCCAGACUCCUACGGGAGGCAGCAGUGGGGAAUAUUGCACAAUGGGCGCAAGCCUGAUGCAGCCAUGCCGCGUGUAUGAAGAAGGCCUUCGGGUUGUAAAGUACUUUCAGCGGGGAGGAAGGGAGUAAAGUUAAUACCUUUGCUCAUUGACGUUACCCGCAGAAGAAGCACCGGCUAACUCCGUG